This 77-nucleotide transfer RNA is filed under the name Hyphomicrobiales bacterium. Its description in RNAcentral is "tRNA-Ile". It matches the Rfam family "tRNA". From Rfam's summary of the family: Transfer RNA (tRNA) molecules are approximately 80 nucleotides in length. Their secondary structure includes four short double-helical elements and three loops (D, anti-codon, and T loops). RNAcentral also lists the same sequence under 1 other name. Lineage: Bacteria; Pseudomonadati; Pseudomonadota; Alphaproteobacteria; Hyphomicrobiales. The record is from RNAcentral.
GGGCCCGUAGCUCAAUUGGUUAGAGCCGGCCGCUCAUAACGGUCUGGUUGCUGGUUCGAGUCCAGCCGGGCCCACCA